CCUACGGGAGGCAGCAGUGAGGAAUAUUGGUCAAUGGACGAGAGUCUGAACCAGCCAAGUAGCGUGAAGGAUGACUGCCCUAUGGGUUGUAAACUUCUUUUAUAUGGGAAUAAAACGUUCCACGUGUGGGAUUUUGUAUGUACCAUAUGAAUAAGGAUCGGCUAACUCCGUGCCAGCAGCCGCGGUCAUACGGAGGAUCCGAGCGUUAUCCGGCUUUAUUGGGUUUAAAGGGAGCGUAGGUGGAUUGUUAAGUCAGUUGUGAAAGUUUGCGGCUCAACCGUAAAAUUGCAGUUGAAACUGGCAGUCUUGAGGACAGUAGAGGUGGUCGGAAUUCGUGGUGUAGCGGUGAAAUGCUGAGAUAUCACGAAGAACUCCGAUUGCGAAGGCAGUUCACUGGACUGCAACUGACACUGAGGCUCGAAAGUGUGGGUAUCAAACAGGAUUAGAUACCCUGGUAGUC
This 460-nucleotide ribosomal RNA is filed under the name uncultured bacterium. RNAcentral describes it as "partial 16S ribosomal RNA". It matches the Rfam family "Bacterial small subunit ribosomal RNA", at positions 338 to 795 of the family's 1533-position model. The record is from RNAcentral.